Molecule: ribosomal RNA, 503 nt
Filed under: uncultured bacterium
Lineage: Bacteria
Description: partial 16S ribosomal RNA
Rfam family: Bacterial small subunit ribosomal RNA
Source: RNAcentral
AUUGAACGCUGGCGGCAGGCUUAACACAUGCAAGUCGAGCGGGGUGAUGGUGCUUGCACUAUCACUUUGCGGCGGACGGGUGAGUAAUGCUUAGGAAUCUGGCUAUUAGUGGGGGACGACAUCUCGAAAGGGAUGCUAAUACCGCAUACGUCCUACGGGAGAAAGCAGGGGAUCACUUGUGACCUUGCGCUACUAGAUGAGCCUAAGUCGGAUUAGCGAGUUGGUGGGGUAAAGGCCUACCAAGGCGACGAUCUGUAGCGGGUCUGAGAGGAUGAUCCGCCACACUGUGACUGAGACACGGCCCAGACUGCUACGGGCGGCAGCAGUGGGGAAUAUAGGACAAUGGGGGGAACCCUGAUCCAGCCAUGCCGCGUGUGUGAAGAAGGCCUUAUGGUUGUAAAGCACUUUAAGCGAGGAGGAGGCUCUUUUGGUUAAUACCCAAGAUGAGUGGACGUUACUCGCAGAAUAAGCACCGUCUAACUCUGUGCCAGCCGCCGCGGUAA